This 525-nucleotide ribosomal RNA is filed under the name uncultured bacterium. RNAcentral's name for it is "bacterial SSU rRNA". It matches the Rfam family "Bacterial small subunit ribosomal RNA", at positions 28 to 531 of the family's 1533-position model. The record is from RNAcentral.
GGCUAACGCUGGCGGCGUGUCUUAGCCAUGCAAGUCGAGCGGACUUAUGGGGUAACUUAUAAGUCAGCGGCGGACGGCGGAGUAACACGUAGCUAACCUACCCUCUGGACGGGGGAUAACCUACCGAAAGGUGGGCUAAUACCCGAUGUAGUCAUCCUGUAUAGGGGUGAUGAAAGGUGGGCUUCUGUUUACAAGCUCAUGCUGGAGGAGGGGGCUGCGGCCUAUCAGGUAGUUGGUAGGGUAAUAGCCUACCAAGCCGAUGACGGGUAGCCGGCCUGAGAGGGUGACCGGCCCGAGGGGCACUGAGAUACGGGUCCCACUCCUACGGGAGGCAGCAGGCUAGAAAUUUGGGCAAUGGGGGAAACCCUGACCCAGUGACGCCGCGUGCAGGAAGGAGCCCUUCGGGGUGUAAACUGCUGUCGUGUAGGGAGAAGGGUACUAAGGUGAACAAUCUUAGUACUUGACGGUACUACAGGAGGAAGCCCAGGCUAACCUCGUGCCAGCAGGCGCGGUAAAAUGCGUACU